Molecule: ribosomal RNA, 1510 nt
Filed under: Triticum aestivum (bread wheat)
Lineage: Eukaryota; Viridiplantae; Streptophyta; Magnoliopsida; Poales; Poaceae
Description: partial small subunit ribosomal RNA
Source: RNAcentral
CGUGUAGUAUGGAAUUCCAGACAUAUCCAGAACACACCACCCCGCACAAUGUGUUCUUGUUUCUGCUUCUCUCCCGAAAGAAACAGGAGCUUCGAGUACCCUCCCAAAUUCUCGCGGCCGACCUCUCCCCUCUCUUCCCCGGUGAACGCGGGAUUUGAGUUGGGCAAGGAUCCCUACCCUUGUAUAGUUGUGCUUGUAAUUAGGGUCUGAAUCAAUUGGAUUUGGCUUCAAGAUUUCGUCGGUGUAUUUCCUUCAGAUCUAGCCGUGCAGGCCGCCGGAGACAGAGAUGAUAGUGACGGUUGUUGCCAUAUCCGAGUCUGUUCGAUAUAGCCCUUUUUUCUGUGCUGCCCAUGGAGGAUUAGAGGCUACCAGCGGCAGGACUGGCAUGAGUAGGCCUAGGUGUUGCGGGCGCGGAGGAUUUCUGACGGUGGUGAGCUACUCGUUCCCUGCGGCGCCCAGUGCCAAACUGAACAAUUGAACAUGAAGACGAGUAGAUAGAGGGCAGCCUCACAGGUUGGCGCUGUUGCCAGGGACAGCAAGGGCCACGUUUUCGUCUCUGUAUGCAGAAUGCUGACCCCCAGUCGAAGUGUUGAGGAGGCCGAGGCAAAAUCUGCCCUCGCCGGACUGCAGGCUCUUGCAAAAUACUACAUCGGGCCUUUGAUCCUGGAGAUGGAUUGCCAUGCAAUCAUAAAAGAGCUAGCUGCGGGAGACCAAUCCAGAUCACAGUGCUAUGCCUGAUCAAGGAUAUUAAACAAGCACUCUCAGUUUUUCAGCUUACAGUGUCAGCCAUGUGGUAAGAACUUGCAAUGCUCAUGCUCCUGAGCUUGCAGCGGCAACCAGAAAUGUGAGCGACCAGGAGAUCAUCGUAAACGUCCCGGAUAAACUCCGUCCACUGAUGAUGUCUGAAUUUGUAUCUCAUGUAGAGUAGUUUCCUACUCUAGAUCUAAAAAAAGGGGCAGCCAUGCAGAGAUGUCACUGACGAUGAAGGUGAGGCCAUCGAGUCUAUUAUUGUGUUAGUUUGUUUCAAAGAAAUCACGCUAAUUUCUCUCAAUAUAGAAAUUAGUCAUGGAGCAGGCUUCAGGGAAGACUAUCGAUCUAGAACUGGUUGUAUGUCCAUGAGCAAUUUUCUGUUGCUCUGACUGUACGGACAGCCUCUGUAAUUUAGCCAAACAUCAUCGCACCGUGCCAUUACUUAGCUUUUUGCACACAAUUCUUGUUUGUUACGGUGGUGCCAAACUGCCAAUAGAAGACAAGUUGACCUGUUGAACAACGCCACAAAUGCAUAGUUGUAUGUUAUCUAGGGUUGUACGACCUUGAGUUACAAGAGGUCCAGUACUAAUUUUGUGUGUGUGUGCGUACAUGUGCAUUCACCCGUUCUACAUACACAUGAUUUCAAAGUAUCUUUUACUGUACAUUUUGUUUCUUUGCUGAGUUCAAAUUGCAAGUAUUGUUCAUUGUUUUUUCAUUUUGUCUAAAUAUACUACAAACUCUCUAAAGGCUCAACUUUUUC